Molecule: unclassified non-coding RNA, 22 nt
Filed under: Mus musculus (house mouse)
Lineage: Eukaryota; Metazoa; Chordata; Mammalia; Rodentia; Muridae
Description: oocyte_clustered_small_RNA1160
Source: RNAcentral
UUCCAGUGAUAGCCAAGGUUGU